This 222-nucleotide unclassified non-coding RNA is filed under the name uncultured Nocardiaceae bacterium. Its description in RNAcentral is "contains 16S-23S intergenic spacer region". Lineage: Bacteria; Bacillati; Actinomycetota; Actinomycetes; Mycobacteriales; Nocardiaceae. The record is from RNAcentral.
UCCGAGUUGACCCCGGCAGUCUCCUGCGAGUCCCCGCCAUUACGCGCUGGCAACACAGGACAAGGGUUGCGCUCGUUGCGGGACUUAACCCAACAUCUCACGACACGAGCUGACGACAGCCAUGCACCACCUGUAUACCGACCACAAGGGGGGCCGUAUCUCUACGGCUUUCCGGUAUAUGUCAAACCCAGGUAAGGUGGGAUGACGUCGUCGGAUUCUAAG